GCUUUCCUGCGGCUCAGUUGGUAGAGCAUUGCACUAACAAUGCAAAGGUCGUGGGUUCAAAUCCCAGGGAAAGAA
RNAcentral lists this transfer RNA (75 nucleotides) under Danionella cerebrum. RNAcentral describes it as "tRNA-Val". It matches the Rfam family "tRNA". Rfam says of the family: Transfer RNA (tRNA) molecules are approximately 80 nucleotides in length. Their secondary structure includes four short double-helical elements and three loops (D, anti-codon, and T loops). The record is from RNAcentral. Lineage: Eukaryota; Metazoa; Chordata; Actinopteri; Cypriniformes; Danionidae.